GAAGUCGGAAUUGCUAGUAAUGGCAGGUCAGCAUACUGCCGUGAAUACGUUCCCGGGGCCCUUGUACACACCGCCCGUCACACCAUGAGAGUUGGAGAUACCCGAAGCCUGUGAGCUAACUUUUAGAGGCAGCAGUCGAAGGUAGAAUCAAUGAUUGGGGUGAAGUCGUAACAAGGUAUC
RNAcentral lists this ribosomal RNA (180 nucleotides) under uncultured bacterium. RNAcentral's name for it is "partial 16S ribosomal RNA". It matches the Rfam family "Bacterial small subunit ribosomal RNA", at positions 1322 to 1500 of the family's 1533-position model. The record is from RNAcentral.